GGGUUUGUAGCUCAGGUGGUUAGAGCGUUGCUCUGAUAAAGCAAAGGUCGGUGGUUCGAGUCCACCCAGACCCACCA
RNAcentral lists this transfer RNA (77 nucleotides) under Rickettsiales bacterium. RNAcentral's name for it is "tRNA-Ile". It matches the Rfam family "tRNA". From Rfam's summary of the family: Transfer RNA (tRNA) molecules are approximately 80 nucleotides in length. Their secondary structure includes four short double-helical elements and three loops (D, anti-codon, and T loops). Lineage: Bacteria; Pseudomonadati; Pseudomonadota; Alphaproteobacteria; Rickettsiales. The record is from RNAcentral.